Molecule: ribosomal RNA, 484 nt
Filed under: uncultured bacterium
Lineage: Bacteria
Description: partial 16S ribosomal RNA
Rfam family: Bacterial small subunit ribosomal RNA
Source: RNAcentral
AUUGAACGCUGGCGGAAUGCUUUACACAUGCAAGUCGAGCGGCAGCGCGGCCUUCGGGCUGGCGGCGAGCGGCGAACGGGUGAGUAAUGCAUCGGAACAUGCCCAGUCGUGGGGGAUAACACUUCGAAAGAAGUGCUAAUACCGCAUACGUCCUGAGGGGGAAAGCGGGGGAUCGCAAGACCUCGCGCGAUUGGAGUGGCCGAUGUCAGAUUAGCUAGUUGGUGGGGUAAAGGCCUACCAAGGCGACGAUCUGUAGCUGGUCUGAGAGGAUGAUCAGCCACACUGGGACUGAGACACGGCCCAGACUCCUACGGUAGGCAGCAGUGGGGAAUUUUGGACAAUGGGGGCAACCCUGAUCCAGCCAUUCCGCGUGAGUGAAGAAGGCCUUCGGGUUGUAAAGCUCUUUCGGCAGGAACGAAACGGUGGGCUCUAACAUAGUCCGCUAAUGACGGUACCUGAAGAAGAAGCACCGGCUAACUACGUG